RNAcentral lists this long non-coding RNA (823 nucleotides) under Monodelphis domestica (gray short-tailed opossum). RNAcentral's name for it is "lncRNA (ENSMODG00000051271.1)". The record is from RNAcentral. Lineage: Eukaryota; Metazoa; Chordata; Mammalia; Didelphimorphia; Didelphidae.
AGGAGGUCUGGAAUCUUGAGAAGCCAGAAGAUUCUGACUGAGAUUUCAGUUAGGUCUCUCAGUCUUGGGAAGCCUAGGAGAGAGGGUUGGCCAAGACUUUCUCCUGAAGAGAUAUUCACCUUUUCCUGUUUUGGUGACAGGACAUCCUCCCUCCCUCCCAACCCCCAAUUCCCAACUGAAGUUAUAGCUGAAGAAGACAUUGAGCCUCUGUCAAACUUAUCUCACAGCUCCUGGUACCCUAGGUCUGAACUGUUCCAGUUGGGUCAAGAUCAGGAUCUGCUUGUUUCCCAUUUUGAAGGAUAUGGAGGUGAUCUAAAGCUUUCCACAGAAGGAGACCUUAGAAGAACACAGAUUUCACCUUGUGACAUUUUUAAGAAGCAUGAACUCUUCUUUGAUUGUUUGAGGAACACAUCAGCUUGGCUGGCUGACCAGUAAGGCUAAAUAUGCCCCAUGUUCUUCCUCUGAAUGUGGAUAGCAUUCUUUGAGAAUCAUUUAUUAUAUAGAGGUGCAAAUUGAAUUCAUGGAACCUGAUGAGACAUCUCUUAAAAGGUAUUAAGACCAGGCUUGGUUGGCUUAGGAGUAUAAAAUCAAAAUGUUGAGAUGAAUUCCUCAGAACCUCAAAAUGAAAGAGCCACACGGAACUUCAGAUCUACAUUCUAUGUUUAACUGGUUCAUCACAAAGAGCAACAGGACAAGGGAAUCAGCUGAAUCAGCCUGAAGUGUCCUUCCUGCCUAUCCUUUGGAAUAUUCUUCUCCUGAUGAUGGCUAAGGAAAUCUUUUUGUUAGUUGUUAAAUGAUAUAAAAGUGUUUCAUUUUGUUUCCA